GUGGGGAAUAUUGGGCAAUGGGCGCAAGCCUGACCCAGCGACGCCGCGUGGGUGAUGAAGGCCUUCGGGUUGUAAAACCCUUUCGUGCGGAAAGAACAGCCCUGUAGUUAAUAUCUGCAGGGUUUGACGGUACCGCAGGAAGAAGCACCGGCUAACUCCGUGCCAGCAGCCGCGGUAAUACGGAGGGUGCAAGCGUUGUUCGGAAUUAUUGGGCGUAAAGGGCGCGUAGGUGGUUGUGAUAGUCAGAUGUGAAAUCCUUUGGCUUAACUGAAGAACUGCAUCUGAAACUUCAUAACUCGAGUACAGGAGAGGGAAACGGAAUUCCCGGUGUAGAGGUGAAAUUCGUAGAUAUCGGGAGGAACACCAGUGGCGAAGGCGGUUUCCUGGCCUGAUACUGACACUGAGGCGCGAAAGCGUGGGGAGCAAACAGGAUUAGAAACCCGAGUAGUCC
RNAcentral lists this ribosomal RNA (451 nucleotides) under uncultured Syntrophorhabdaceae bacterium TA10. RNAcentral describes it as "bacterial SSU rRNA". It matches the Rfam family "Bacterial small subunit ribosomal RNA", at positions 354 to 796 of the family's 1533-position model. Lineage: Bacteria; Pseudomonadati; Thermodesulfobacteriota; Syntrophorhabdia; Syntrophorhabdales; Syntrophorhabdaceae. The record is from RNAcentral.